UCUGGUUGAUCCUGCCAGAGGUUACUGCUAUCGAGGUUCGACUAAGCCAUGCGAGUCGAAUGUAGCAAUACAUGGCGAACUGCUCAGUAACACGUGGACAACCUGCCCUUAGGACGGGGAUAAACCCGGGAAACUGGGUAUAAUACCCGAUAGGUCUCGAUUGCUGGAAUGCAUCGAGAUUUAAAGCUCCGGCGCCUAAGGAUGGGUCUGCGGCCUAUCAGGUAGUAGUGGGUGUAGCGUACCUACUAGCCUACGACGGGUACGGGUUGUGAGAGCAAGAGCCCGGAGAUGGAUUCUGAGACACGAAUCCAGGCCCUACGGGGUGCAGCAGGCGCGAAAACUUUACAAUGCUGGCAACAGCGAUAAGGGAACCUCGAGUGCCAGGUUACAAAUCUGGCUGUCGAGAUGCCUAAAAAGCAUUUCAUAGCAAGGGCCGGGCAGGACCGGUGCCAGCCGCCGCGGUAACACCGGCGGCUCGAGUGGUAACCGUUAUUAUUGGGUUUAAAGGGUCUGUAGCCGGCCGGAUAAGUCUCUUGAGAAAUCUGGCAGCUUAACUGUCAGGCUUUCAGGAGAUACUGUCUGGCUCGAGGCCGGGAGAGGUGAGAGGUACUUCAGGGGUAGGGGUGAAAUCUUGUAAUCCUUGAAGGACCACCAGUGGCGAAGGCGUCUCACCAGAACGGACCUGACGGCAAGGGACGAAAGCUAGGGGCACGAACCGGAUUAGAUACCCGGGUAGUCCUAGCCGUAAACGAUACUCGCUAGGUGUCGGCCACGGUGCGACCGUUGUCGGUGCCGUAGGGAAGCCGUGAAGCGAGCCACCUGGGAAGUACGGCCGCAAGGCUGAAACUUAAAGGAAUUGGCGGGGGAGCACCACAACGGGUGGAGCUUGCGGUUUAAUUGGAUUCAACGCCGGA
RNAcentral lists this ribosomal RNA (914 nucleotides) under uncultured archaeon. Its description in RNAcentral is "bacterial SSU rRNA". It matches the Rfam family "Archaeal small subunit ribosomal RNA", at positions 1 to 922 of the family's 1478-position model. The record is from RNAcentral.